ACAUCGUGCGAUAUGGGCUAAGAAGAUAACUACCGUGAAAAAAGAGAUCGAUCUCUCACCUCUAAACCUAGCGCCGCCAUGCCAUGCCGCCUCCUUUGCCAAGCUCCUCUCCUUCCUACACCGGACUCGCCAUCGUAGGUCCACCGCCAUGCGCUCGCCGGCCGCCAGCAGCAGCCCCGGGGACGCUGUCCUCCUGGUGGCGGCCCAGCCCCAGUACGCCCGUCCUGCAGGCGGCGGCCCAGCCUCAGGAACACGGUGAUUUGGAGGCCAUGAGGGAUCCUGCGAUCGAGCGCACAAGGCCUGGUCACUGGAUCUUUAGCAACAGCUUGGCCAGUUCAUCGUAGAUUACGGACACUCACGUAUGCAGGUGUUUGACAAACAACCUCUGAGAAUACCCUGAUAAUACAAGAUGUAUGUCUCUACACUUCAUAUGGUUACAUGACAUCUACCAAACUAGAUUGAACUUCUGCAGUGCAUGUUUACCUCGAUGUGAAAAAACAUCUAUGUACGAAUUUUAAAGGCAGCAACCACAAGGAUAAACUAGAGAGGCAGAGAAAACAAGGAUCUAUUGUUCCACUAUCAACAUGUAGAUACUACAAGUCAUAUAUGUAUCAACUAGUUUGUGAGACAUGUAAUUCUUUUAUAGACGAUGUGUACAAUUGACUUUGUAAACUACUACUGGCUCCCUCUCUCAGUUAUGCUGUAAUACAACAUUAUUAUUUUGUGCUAGUAUCAUCCUAUGUAGAGCUAGUAUUAAGGCUUAGAUAUUAUUGGUGUCAACAACCAUGAGAACUCAGUCCCUGUAUGUUAAACUGCUGUUAUUUCUGUACAUAUACUUCUUUGUAAAUUGUUGUUAUUUUUUCUUACAAAUAUACUUCAUGCAUUCUCACCUUAGCGAAUCCAUCAAUUACAUCAAGAUUUAUCUCUCUUUUUACAGUAUGUCUCUACACUUCAUAUGGUUACAUGACAUCUACCAAACUAGAUUGAACUUCUGCAGUGCAUGUUUACCUCGAUGUGAAAAAACAUCUAUGUACGAAUUUUAAAGGCAGCAACCACAAGGAUAAACUAGAGAGGCAGAGAAAACAAGGAUCUAUUGUUCCACUAUCAACAUGUAGAUACUACAAGUCAUAUAUGUAUCAACUAGUUUGUGAGACAUGUAAUUCUUUUAUAGACGAUGUGUACAAUUGACUUUGUAAACUACUACUGGCUCCCUCUCUCAGUUAUGCUGUAAUACAACAUUAUUAUUUUGUGCUAGUAUCAUCCUAUGUAGAGCUAGUAUUAAGGCUUAGAUAUUAUUGGUGUCAACAACCAUGAGAACUCAGUCCCUGUAUGUUAAACUGCUGUUAUUUCUGUACAUAUACUUCUUUGUAAAUUGUUGUUAUUUUUUCUUACAAAUAUACUUCAUGCAUUCUCACCUUAGCGAAUCCAUCAAUUACAUCAAGAUUUAUCUCUCUUUUUACAGUAUGUCUCUACACUUCAUAUGGUUACAUGACAUCUACCAAACUAGAUUGAACUUCUGCAGUGCAUGUUUACCUCGAUGUGGUAUGUAAAUAUCGCUCUUCUCUAUUCUUAUGGUUGUCUAUUCAGUGAAGUAAAAAUUACUAGUAGAAGUUCCAAUGAAUUUAUUUAUAUCUCAUUUGCCUUUCUUUGCAGAAAAAACAUCUAUGUACGAAUUUUAAAGGCAACAACCACAAGGAUAAACUAGAGAGGCAGAGAAAACAAGGAUCUAUUGUUCCACUAUCAACAUGUAGAUACUACAAGUCAUAUAUGUAUCAACUAGUUUGUGAGACAUGUAAUUCUUUUAUAGACGAUGUGUACAAUUGACUUUGUAAACUACUACUGGCUCCCUCUCUCA
Molecule: long non-coding RNA, 1855 nt
Organism: Triticum aestivum (bread wheat)
Lineage: Eukaryota; Viridiplantae; Streptophyta; Magnoliopsida; Poales; Poaceae
Exons: 5
Source: RefSeq, a predicted model, not a curated record